This is a non-coding RNA of Xyrichtys novacula (pearly razorfish), 767 nucleotides long. NCBI's taxonomy places the organism in Eukaryota, Metazoa, Chordata, Actinopteri, Labriformes, Labridae. The record is from the annotation of a GenBank genome assembly.
UGAAUCAGUGCGUGGCAGUCAGACUCAGACUGGGUCGGGCCAGCAGCAGCAGCAGCAGUGAAGGAAGCGGAGGAGGAAGGAAACAUCUGGAUCUAAAGGGAAUAAAAUGUCGGAUUACACGGGUCCGCUUGAACGUCUCUGCUCCUGCUGUAUACUCGGCUCUUACCUGAGGGGGGAAUAACUGUGUCGUACCCGAAACUCCUUCGGGUACUUUCGUAAGAGAGCUCAAGUUUUCUCACACCAGCAGCUUGGCGAGCUGCCGUUGCCAUGGAUCAAUCUGUCGCAAUUCAGGAAACUUUGGAAAGGGAAGAAAACUGCAUUAUAGUAUCCUUUGAGAGAUUUGUGCGUUGGUAUUUGUAUCCACAGCUCCUCAAGCGACGGGUUACCUAUUUCAACCCAGUUCACUAUAACGUGGCUGCGUUAGAUUUCACCAAAGUCUGUAGGCUGUGAUUAAGGUUCUGCCACGUGCCUGACUGUAAAUAUAUCACACAACCUCAAUUGGGUUGUGAUUUUUAUCCAGCCAAUCCAUUCUCAGUUCUAGUUUCUGCGGUAGUUUUAGUGCUCGGGUUUUAUCGGGUGUGACUUUCCCAAAAUAUGGUCCAACAUGGUAGGAAAACGUUUCAACCACAAGGUGGCAACUUUGUUCCACCAGCUGCAGGUCUGUAGGAGGACGCAGCGUGGAGGGUGAAGAAGCUGAUGUGCAAUAUAGAUGGGAUCUAGACAGAUACAAGUUUGCAGUUACUACUAAACUUUAUGGUUGCUCGUGG